This 10757-nucleotide long non-coding RNA is filed under the name Nicotiana tabacum (common tobacco). RNAcentral's name for it is "long non-coding RNA (NTAB_LNC003169)". The record is from RNAcentral. Lineage: Eukaryota; Viridiplantae; Streptophyta; Magnoliopsida; Solanales; Solanaceae.
UGAUUUUUCAGAUUCUUAUAAAAUAACUAAUUUACUACUUAAUUUAAAAAUGUAAAGUUAAACCCUAAAUGCAAAUGCAGCAUAUUUUUGUAUUUUUUCAUUAAUUAAAUAAGAUAAACAUGCACAGACAAAUGCAAACAAUUGACAGAAAAUGCCACAAAAAUCCACGAAAUGGCAAACAAUGGAAAAAAAUUAUUUUGUUUUGAAUUUGUGGGAGUAAUUCAUAUAGGGCAAAAAUCACGUGCUCGCAGCUGCCCUUCUUUGCACAGAAACACGAAGAGUUUUCGUGCAAAGAUAAAGUGAGCGGAUACGAGCGAUUUUUGCCCGUUUGAAUACUUCGUGGGAAGCAUUUUUGAAAGAUUUGACCGCACCGUGCUCCAGAAGUUGUCUACAUAUCCUUGGCUAUAAAGGAAUCAGGUCAGUGUAGUUCGGAAAGUUUUGGUAGCUGGGACUACCAUGAAGCUGUGAUUUCACUGUUGCUGCUGCUGAUGCUACUGCUUACUGAACUCCUUAUUACACCAUGACAAAAUAAAACAAGCUAUACUAAACUAUGAUAUAUGCAUUACCAUAAUCCUAUCUAUAUCUUCAAACUUGAUCUUGCAGUUACUGUUUCUUUGUCGUCCCGUACUAUCCACGUGAAAUUCCUUUGUUGCUAACUUGAAUUGUAUUCUGAGAUGCUUUUCCUUUUCUCUAGGUGGAUGCUUGACUGCUGAACUUGACCGUCUUCCUUCGAACAUUGCUUCUUUCCCUUCGUUCUUCAGGCGGGCUCCUGAUUAUCAACACUUAAAUUGCAGCUUUGUUCUCUAGGUGGGUUCCUGAUUACCGACACUUGAAUUGCUUUAUUCUACAGAUGGGCUCCUGAUUGCUGAACUUGAACUAUAUUCCCGUGCUCUCCAGGUGGGCGCCUGAUUGCUGAACUUGAAUUGUAUUCCCGUGGUCUCCAGGUGGGCGCCUGACUGCUGAACUCGAAUUGUAUUCCCGUGCUCUCCAUGUGGGCGCCUGAUUGAUGAACUUAAAUUGUAUUCCCGUGCUCUCCAAGUGGGCGCCUGAUUGCUGAACUCGAACUACUUCUCCCUGUUCUCCAAGUGGGCGCUUGAUUUCAACAAAAUAGACAAAACAAAGAAAAUUUUCUGCCCCAGUAUGGUAGCUGGGCACAUCUGUGAGUGUUAAACUGAAUCAUGUUACCAAACAUUAUCAAGAAUUUGAAAGCUAGAUCCCGUUAUCCAGGAGGGUCCUGAUAACUCCUAUUUAAAUGACAAUUUUAAAGCUAAAUUAUGUCUUCUGAAGGAAUGUCUUAUGCUAAGUCUUGUUAUCCAAGCAAGUUUUAAAACUACAUCCCAUUAUCCAGGAGGGUCCUGAAAACUCCUAAUUGAGUCCUAUCUUAAACAUGCAAACUUUGAAGCCAACUUAUAUUCCUUUGGGGUACAUUUAUGAUAGAUUAUGAUACUCAUGAUUGUUUUGAAUUUUAAACUAGGUCCCAUUUUCUAGGAGGGUCCUGAAAAUUUAUGGUCAAACAUGUUUGGUGCUUGCUUUUCCUUACGGAGGGUUUGUUCGAAACAAACGAAAUUUUCUUCCACUGUUUCAAUCAAAGAAAAAUCUUAUUAUUUUAAAAUGCGGUGGUUGGUUUAUGGCCUUGACUUUGAGGGCGAUUGCUCCUCCACUUCCCAUGAUAACUUUGAAUUCCACUCGAAGACCUUGCUAACCACUUUCUAUGUCAUACUUAUCACAGAAAAUACCUCUUCUUCAUUCAGACCCAAUACCCUAUAUCUGUUGCAUUGCUCAUAAACUGACAUUUACCAAACCUUUGUAUCUCACAUGAAUGCCAAAGCACGUCAAUUGCCACCCACUCAGUGCGUAUGCUGUUCUUUCUUGACUUAAACCACUGGCCUUGGCCUUGAGGUCUAUUGCACCUUCACUUGCCAUGUUCGCUUUGAUUUCUGCUUGGAAGAACUUGCCUGUCACUAGUUAGCCACUUUCUUUGUCAAUCUAAUCACAGAGAAUACCUUUUAUCUGUUCACCCUAACCCUCCAUCCGUUGCAUUGUUCAAGAAUUGAUAUAUACCAAGCCUUUGUAUUUCACAAGAAUCCCAAAGCAUGUUGAUUGUUACAAACUCAGUGCGCUUGCUGUUCUUUCCUAACUUAUGCUACUUUGAUGUGCCAGCCAGAUCUUGUUUUGUGCAAUUGGAAAGCUGGUGGCAANNNNNNNNNNNNNNNNNNNNNNNNNUUUUGACCAAACAGACUCAGGAAGAGGAAGUAAACAAGACAAAAGGAACAGAGUAAAGGACAAAGGAAAGAGGUGAUUCCUAACAAGUAAACAACAAAGUAGAAACCUAUCAGAUGUGGAUACCAACUCUAAUGACCAUGACAUGCACCUGUGGCCUAUUCUGUUGAGCAAGUCUGAUGUUCAACUCCUGUCAUACCCCUAAACCGUGAAACUGGGCUUCAAUGCUCCGAUUACCCAAUAUGAUUCAUAAUCCUUAUUCGACUUGUAGUGCCCGAAGAGUUUUUACCAUCAAGCCUCUCUAAUUUUGUUCUUUCUCUCAACUUACCGUCGCCUUACGGUACUAGUGAGGGUUUUCACCAAUAAGACUCUCAUUUUUGAUUUCCCUCAACUCCCGUCGCCUUACGGUGCCCGUGAGGGUUUUAACCAUUAAGACUCUCUCAUUUUCAUUACUUUUCUGCCUGGACCAGAGUGUUGCUCCUGAUAUGAAUUACUUCUCCUUGCUUGACUUGACAUCUCUCGAAGAUUGAUCGGAAGGUCUUUCUUUGGACCGUAACGUGGGCUUUUGGAUAUGAUUAAAAAGAAAGGAUAUCAAAGGCUCAAAACAAUUCACAUGGGUUAAAAAUUACAACUUUUGGAAUCAGAUUUCUUACAACAACCACAACUUCUAUCCUAGUUUCUUGCUUGGGGACUUUUGGAUUUUUAUUUUGAUGGGACCGAACCGUGAGGCUGCCUACGUAUCCUUAAAAGGAAUCAGGUCGAACGUAGUUCAUGUCAUAUGAAUUGCUUUGUUGUUGUGAUUUUUUUUUCUCUUUCUCUUUUAUUUUCUUUUCUUUCUUCCUUUUUCUCUUUUUGUUGUUUUGUUGGUUUUUCUUUAUUCUUUUUCCUUUUUUCGUCUUUUUUUUUUCUUCUUUCUUUUUUUCCAAUUUUCAUAUUUUCUUUUCUCUCUUUUCCUUUACUUAUCUUUCGCGCUUGCGUUUCUGAUCUUUGCUACCGAUUCCAAAAGAGGGGUACGAAAGGUAGUAAAUAAGGCACAAAUGGGGUAACAAAGGAUAAAGUGUUUAUAUAGCAGAACAAAAUGACUUCGUCAUUCUAAUCUUCAAAGCAUGCCAGAUGCAAACGGCACAAUAAAACAAACCAAAGAAAUCACACAUAAUAUCUUUUGACUGCAUCAGAAUUGAUAGCCAUAUCCACACAUUUGCCUUCUACAUUUGUUAAGUACAAAGCACCAUUGGACAACACUCUCACUCUCAUUACCACUAACGGCUCCUGUCAAUUUGGGCAAACUUGUCUUUAGCUUCAAUCCAAUGCGGCAUGAUGCAUUUCAAUAGGGUUUCUUUAUGUUCUAUCUGCCUCAGUUUCACACAAUUCGGGCUUGAACUGAUCUCAACAUGCCUUUACUUAUUUCCCUGAAAUGUCCCUACAUCUUCAACAUUGUUCCACUGCUUCGUGAUUAAAUUAACUUUUAAAAUCGGGAUGAGAAUUACGCAUGCAUGUCAUGUCACUAGAGUCAACAGGAAAAGAACUAUAAAAAGAAAAUAGAACUAAACGAAAAUGACUAGAAAUCACAGAAAAUAGAAAAUUGCAUUAGACAGAUGGUGAAAGGGUUUGGACAACAAAACAAACAAACUAAAUGGGGGUUACAAACCUAGAACAAAACUAGACAACACUAAACGGGCUACUACAACUAAACAAACUACGCAAAAUAAAAGGAUAGAAGGGUUUGAGUCACAAGACAAUAUCCGGACUACAACCCUUAAAUAACCCGGACAGCAGAAAUGACAACAAAAUAAACCACCAAAACUCCUCCCUGGCUAACCAAGAAAAAAGCGUCUUUCCAAUCAUCGAAAUUAACAUCUUAGCCACUGACUUCUGCAUCAACAAUACUAGGACCUUCACAAGUCUCCAUCACAUUGUUCUUAACAGAUUGCCUUUGGGUUCCCUUUGCCUGCUCGUUCUUAGGAUCAACCUCUAAUAGCGCUGAAAGCUUCGUAGCACGUGGACCUCCGAGGAUCCCAGAAGAAUUCUCACAUUCCUUUCAAAAAUAUAUCUUACCCACCAUAUGCGUCUCAUUAUGCACAAGUGACGGACUUUGACUAGUGUCUACUGCAUCUGGAUUUUGCACGAUAAUGUCCCUUGCAUCAAUAAGCUUCUGAAUCGCAUUCUUCAGAUUCCAAUACUUCUCUAUGUCAUUCCCCGGGGCAUAUGAGCAAUAUGCACACCUUUGAGAAAAAUCAAACUUCUUUGUAAGAGGAUUUGGCAUUUUUAUCUGGAUCGGCUUCAACAUGUCCAAUUUCCUUAGCCUCUAGAACAGACUAGCAUAUGACUCUCCAAAUGGAGUGAAGGUUUUUUUCUUCCGCAACCUCUCAUUCUUAAAUGCUUGAUUGGGAUGUAAACAUUAUCCAAGGGGGUUUCAGUAAGCUCGUGGGGGCGGGUAAGACAUUUGGGGAAAUGGUGUGGGCCAUCACGGUCCUUAUGGGUGUGGAGCAUAUGGUGGUGCAUUGUGGACAGGGUACUGGGAAAGUGAUGUACAACUUUGGGAGUUUUGUGAAGAGAAGUAGCAUUGGGGAGGCUCAUCUGGUGCACAAGGAUAUCCACGGGGACGAUGUCGAGGUUGGAAGUGUUGAGCAAGAAAGCCCAUCGGAUCAUCUUUUCUAUUUCUCUUUCUUCCACCCAAACUUACUGGGAUGUUCUGAAUGCCUUUCGUAGUAUCUUUCAAUGCCGAAUAACUCAUGAUUUUGCCUGACUUGAUUCCCUCUUCUACCAUCUCCCCCAUUAUUAACACAUCAUUGAAAGGCUUACCCAAGGCCGGGAUCAAAUGACUGAAGUAGGUGGGCCCCUGGGCUUGUAGGAAAAACUCAACCAUUUCUUUUUCACCAAUCGGGGGACUGACUUGAGCAGCUUGCUCCCUCCAUCUGAGCCCAAACUCCCUAAAGCUUUCCUCCAGCUUUUUUUUCAUUCUAGAUAGUGAAGAGCGGUCUGGGGUAACGCCUAAUUUGUAUUGAAAGUAUCGAAUAAAAUCUUGAGCCAUGUCACCCAAUGUAGGCCAAUUACCAACAUCUUGAUGAUUGUGCCAUUCCAAAGCUGCCCCAGUCAAGCUCUCACCAAAAUACGCCAUCAACAAAUCAUCUUUCUCGCCAUCACUUAUCAUUUUACUACAAAAGACCCUCAAAUGGGCUACCGGAUCCCCACGCCCAUCCUACAAGUUAAAUUUUGGCACUUUAAAUCCCAUGGAAAGGCAAACGUCAGGGGACACAGACAGUUCUUUAUAAGCCAUGCUACCCUAGUCUCCCAUUCCUCGCUUGUUCUCUAAGGACUGUCCUAUGCCUUUUAGCCUCCUGGGUAUCCCAUCUCGCCCUUCUCUUCCUGUGAACUUUUCAUUUUCAACGUGAGGCUCAUCCCGAAGGCCCUACUUGUAUGAGUUGGGGACCUUGUGGGCAACCUCUGAGGGAUAAUGUUGGGCAUAAUGAGCUUUGAGUUGGUGUUCAAUGUUGGGGAUAGUGCAUGUUAUAGGAGUGCACUUUUGGGAAAAGAUAGUUGGAAGACGAGUGAUGGAGCUACUAGGGUGGCUGGGAAAGCUGUGAUAAGCGGGUGGAUCUGGAGAGUAUGGAGGAUCAUCUGACAUUGGGUUCGGAGUUUGGGUAAGGGCAACAUCUAGGAAGCUAGGUGGUGGCGGGGGUGGUGCCUUCCCAGUCAUCCAAGCCUGAUACAUGUCCGCCAUUUGUUGUCUAAACAUAUUUACCUCUUCAACCAACUCAUUGUCCUAUUCAAACAACUGCUUCCGGGCACCGGUAUCAACCAACUCAGUUCUGUUGUUGUCUGCCAUUGCCUUUUGACUUUAUGUUUUAAAGAAGAGUUACCACUUUAAAAACCACAAACCAACCAACUUUCUGCUAUGAAUAUAACUAAAUAAAGCCAUCACGUUAUCGUUAGGGCAUUUAACAUAAGAUAAUCUCACGUUAUGUGCAAUGCACCUAGCCACAGUUAUCGGUUCUAAAGUGACUUUGAGGGUACGAAGGUCAGUUGGCAUCAUCCCAUUUUGUUCAUUUCAAUCCCCUCUUUUCUUUGCUUUUCUAUCACUUUCUUGAUCAUUUUCCUUCCUCUUUUUCUAAUUACACUAUUUUCUUUCCUUCAUUUCUCACAUCCCACAAUUUCAUCUCUUUUUUUUUUCUCUCUUUUCUCCUUUUUUUCUUUUCUUUUAAUAGUAAAAAAAUGAUUCGAUCGAACCCUAUGUAGGUUUCUUACGCAUCAUGACGCCGCAUGAAUCAAAUCUCUGUGUAGUUCUGGAAGAACGGGAAUAAAGUAAACAAACUAACGUUCUUUUUUCUUUUCUAAUUUUCUUUUACCUUAAGGACUACUCUGAUGAGAAGAGAGAAAUAAAAGAAGCAAAUCCNNNNNNNNNNNNNNNNNNNNNNNNNUUAACGAGCAUAUAUUUCUUACUUUUUUUCUUUUUGAAACAAACACUCUAUGGGAAAUUAUUAAGGAAAACCCUAGAAGAGAAAAAAACAUUUUUGAUUCUUUUUUUUAGGAAGAAGAUCGAAAGAAUAAACCAUAUAAAAAUAUUUUGAAUUCUCAUUUGAUAUCCUGAUGCAGGAUUUUGAAACAAGCAAUGAAAAAGAUAAAACAACAUGUUUUUGGAUUUCAAUUUGGUUGCCUAAAGAAAGAAACUUUAAACAAAAGAUAAAAUAUGUUUUUUUUCUAUGUACAAUUUCCUAAAGUUCUUGGGAAAAUAAAAGAAUAUUUUUUUUCAUUUUUCAUUAAGUUCCCAAAGAAGAACCUCAAAAGAAAAUCUUUUUGGAUUUUUGAGAUUAAUGCCUUAAAGAAAACUUUUAAAAAAGUACUAAAAGGAAUUGUUUUUUGAAUUUUGGUCAUAAUAUAGUAAAGGAAAUAUAAAAAUAAUUUUUAUUAAAAUCCUAGAUAUUAUUUUCCUAAAGGAAAAACCACCUCAAAAAUAUCUUUUUUCAUUCCUACAAUUAGUAUUCUAAAGAAAAUUCCUAACGGAAAUAUAAAACACAAUAUUUUAAUUUUUUUUUUGGAUUUUUGAUUCAUUACACACCCUUUCAAAUGCAAAAUAGAAAGUAAAAUAAUAAUAAUAAAGCUCGACAUUACUAUACAAAACUAAAAGGUAAAAGACGAUAUAAAAUAAAAAAAACAGGCUCAAAACAUAAAAAGAAAAGAAAAUCUUCUUUUAAUCCACUCCCAAAUGAGCGAUCCUGACUAGAUGUCCUAGGGCUCUGUCAUGCUCAAACUCCGAUAAGUAAAUCCACGUCUGUAUGAGAAAAUUAAAACCAAAUAUGUUAAAGACCUAGAGCGCUAUGUGAGACAAUAACCCUUCCUACUGGAAACAUGCAAGACAUGAUUUAGGCUAUUUUUGCAAAAUGACAUAUUUGGCCAAAAGACAGCUAGAAGUGCAAAAUUUUGGCUAAGACCCCGCAAAGCCAAGAACCUAAGAUUUACUAGGAAGACCGGACCCUAUGUGGGUUGCCUACGUAUCACGCCCCGAAAGACGAGAAUCAGGUAUGCGUAGUUGAGGCAGAUUGGAUACGGGCGAGAAUUAAAAAAAAACAACUAAUUUAGAGAAAACAUAUUUUUUGUCUUCUUUUUUUUUAAAAGAAAAAUGAUGAGACAAGUAGAUUUUUUUGGAUUUUUUCUUUUUCUUUUUUUUUGAUUUUCUGAUUUACGGAAAAUGAUGAAAAAGUGCAAAAUCUCUUUUUUUUUUGAAUUUUCAAGCUCUUUUUUUUCUCUUAACAAGAAUGUGACAGAAAAUAUAAUCGGGCCCCACUCGCUUUAUCUUCACACUUCAACAUCUUUUUCUUUUUCUUUUUUCUUUUUCAUUUGCCCUCAACUAUUAUUGGUCCGCCAAAUGACCCUUUUACCCUUAAAGAAAUGCAACAUGUAGCACAUAGGAUGCAUCAAGAUGGUCUGUUAUUUUGAGNNNNNNNNNNNNNNNNNNNNNNNNNCUAGGUUCAAAACCUGGGUAUGUGUUCUAGAAUGUGUACCCGAGCGGACAACUCGAGUCGAGGAGGGGGCUACGAAUCGGGAACCAAAAGGCCAUCCAGCUUAGUAACUUGUCCGAACCUCUUUCUUAUUUCAAGGUAUGACACUAACAGAAUAGGGAGUCACAACCAGCGUGCACAUCCCCAAAGAUGAGAAGAGAAGGUUUCGUAGCAGUUUAUAUACGGUUCAGAUAAUAUCAAAGCAGGUAAAAACAACAUUUAGCACAUUAGGCCCAAACAUGUAAUAAAAUCAGAUAACAGAUAAAACAAAAUAUAACAAUUCAUCUAAGCUCGAAUUCUGAACCCUGAACCAGGGAUUUUGGGUUCGAUCCCCAGCAUAGUCGCCAGAGUUAUCACACCUCCUUUUUCACUACACCCCUUGUAAAUGGGGUGUAUAAGGGUGUUUUUUCAAUUUAAGUGACAAUCGAAACGAGAUUUAUUUAUUUAAAGUAUUCAGAGUCGCCACUUGGGAUAAUUUUAUGGUGUACCAAGUCACCGGUUCAAAUCCCGAAUCGAGGAAAGAAUGACUCUGUAUUAUAGUCCGCGAAUCAGAAAUCCGGGUAAGGAAUUCUGUUAACCCGGGAGAAGGUGUUAGGCAUUCUCGAGUUUCGUGGUUCUAGCACGACCGCUCAACUGUUAUUAUUGGCUUAUUAUUUGACUUUAAACACUUUCAAGCCUAUGUACAUUUCUAACUUUAAACCGCUUUUAAUUCAUUUUAGGAGGAUUUCAACGUUAUACAAAACACAUCUUUGGAUCACGGAAUAUUAAAUGCGCCCGCGAUCCGCGACAUAUUUUAUUAAUUUUGUUAGAAUUUGGAUUUAAGUCACAUGAAAUGCACACCCGACUCUAAGGAAAUUAAUUAUUAAAAUAACGCGGCUAAAGCAACUACGCGUUUGCAACUUUGCGAGGGCCAUGGAAAUUCAACUAGGUGGCACGCCUCGAAUUCUAAGAAUCAAAAAAAAAAAUUAAUUAAACGAGGGCCAUGCAAUUGUCAUUUUUGUUCGGCACAACACACCUCGGUUUAUUCUAAUCAAGAGGUUUCUAAAUUAAAUUACGAGAGUCAUACUAUUUGUAUUGUCUAAUAUAGCACACCUCCAAUCUACUUGUGUUUUUUUUUAUUUCCUAUCCCACUCAAAAAUUCCAAAGACCCAAGCUUAUCUUUUGAUUCAGAAUUUCACACCCAUUACUCUAAUUCCAUUUUAAAAAUACUUGAGUUCACUGCCUAUUUUGAUUUUGAUUUUUCAAUUAUUUCUAGCAACAAAACCAAUGCCGCUAACAAGAAAUCAUCGUCCAUAUAAACAAAAGCAAAACCAAAUUUCAUAUCCACCCUAUCAACCUUGCCAUAUCUUUUGAAAAGCUUUCCUUGGCUUAUGCAUCCAAAUUUACAGUACAUGUCAAUAAGCGAGGAAAUCAAAAAGGCAUUGGAUAUAUUUCCAAUAUUAAUCACUUGCGCAUGGGAUACUUCUUUGGUCAAGCACAACGAAAAUACCUCUUAGAACAACCAAAAUGACGAUUUUAGAGUAUGAAUGACAUGUUGGAUAGUACAGCUAACAAUGCUAAAUUAUGCUCUCAAGGAGAAAAUCUGAUCUAAGAAACCAUGGAAACAAACAGUGGCAUGUAGCUCCUUAAACAUUCGGAUAAUUUGUCUUUCACUUAGAAAUCUAAAAAAAUCGAAAGAUCUUCACAAUUUGGUUACAUAUAUAAAUCAGUUGAAGGAAAGCAAAUUAACAAUGCUGAAAAUCCCAUUUCUCUAAAAAUUGUGAAGUAUCAAACUCUAUGUCAUCCUUAAGAUCGACUCGGAAUCGUAUUUGCCAAAAAUGAAGAUUUUAUAUAUAACUUCCCAAUAACUUUUCAAUUAACAUGAAGCAGAAUCUUAACAUUAAAGGGUCGGGAUAUGAAGACAGCUCAAACAGCAAAAUCCAGUUAGAUAGGGAAUCUGCCACGACAAACUUGAAUUAACCUUUCGAACACUGUUAGCAUUUACAAUAUUUCGAAAUCAGGCAACUCAUUCAACAUUGUUCACAAAUAAAAUCAGAAAAAUGGCAAAUCAAGGAACUUCUCAUUAAAACAGAUCUUAGAAUAGCUUGAAAGAGAACGUACCUAAUUACGCAAGGACGAGAUUUAGAAGACAAAGAAGCCAAAUAACGAUUGAAACAAAAAAUUGGAGCUCAGCUAGCAACGUGGGAGCAACAGCAGCCAAACAACUCCCCUUUCCGAGUUAUAUCAAAACCCAAAACCCAGCUAAGCACUCCAAUUUCGAGCUUUUCGAGUGAUGAAAAAGUUCUUUGAAGGCUCAGCUCUCCAAUUGAAUUUUUAAGCUACUUUCAAUUCUCAACAGCUUUUCGUUACUGUAUUUUUUGAGAGAAAUGUAGUGUAAUAUGAAGAGAGAUUUGUGUGCUCGAGAGAAAAGCAAAAGAAGCGGCUGAGUUUUUCGUUUUGAUGAGGAAGAAGAUCAAGAUCCAAAGGAGUCCUUCUGCGCCGUUCUUCUAUAUGCGUCCCUCUCUCAUUUUUUAGCUCCCCUUCUAAUAAUGUGUAUUUAGG